Long non-coding RNA from Vombatus ursinus (common wombat), 535 nucleotides. The record is from Ensembl. NCBI's taxonomy places the organism in Eukaryota, Metazoa, Chordata, Mammalia, Diprotodontia, Vombatidae.
CGAGGAAAUGGUGUCUGGAGGUCAGGUCUCUGGAGCAGCAGAAAACCAAAGAGAUGACUGGAAAGAAAUGUAACACCCCAAAGAAGAAGGGAGUAAUGGAGAGUUACCAGCUUGGAGUUCUGACUCAGUCUUUCUCCUCCAGCCAGCACAACCUUACCAGAAGAUGGUGUGACCACAGCAGUCUCCAGUGACGGGCAUUCUUAUGGUUCUGAUGAUGCAUCGACGUCGCUGCCCCCAAGAACUGUAAGACCCCACCACACCCCAACAUACGAUGAUGAUAAAUCCACUCCAGAGCCCACAGUCCACAGCAGAGAGAACUCCACGGACUCCAGGGUUAUAACUGACCAUCCUAGCGGAGGCUUGGAGACCAUAGCAUUGGUGGGAAUCAUUUUGGGAAUCGUGAUCGCCAUUGGUAUCAUUGCUGGAAUCGUCAUUGCAGUCGUGAGGAAAAUGUCGGGCAGGUACUCGUAAGUAAAAUACUUAUACACUGACAUGAUACAUGAAUGAUUAGUGUGGUUUUCAGAAGAGCCUUGAG